This is a long non-coding RNA of Manis pentadactyla (Chinese pangolin), 780 nucleotides long. RefSeq lists it as uncharacterized. The record is from RefSeq and is a predicted model, not a curated record. The transcript is spliced from 2 exons. Lineage: Eukaryota; Metazoa; Chordata; Mammalia; Pholidota; Manidae.
GCCUUAAACUGCUUUAAAGAAAGACGUACAGCCAUUUGCGUGAAGGCCUGUGAGUUUGGCCGGUGCUCUAUGUCCUAUAGGUCCCUGACGGAGUGCGGAGUGUUGGGAAGAUACUGGGAACGGCGAAGAGAAUGUCAGAAGUGCUUCACAAACCAUCCCUCCUGCGAACGUUUUCUGAGCAUCUGUUUGAGGAAGGCGGUGCUGACGGUGCACUGAUGAGCCAGCCCCUUUCCCCAGCAAAGACGCUCACAGUCUGGGAGGGAGACCGGUUACAUCGGAGUAACUAGGGGUGUCUGCACGGUGCUAGAGGUGCAGAGGAGAGGGAAAACCUUAUACUUCCUUGGUGCCUCAGGAAAACUUCAUAAAGGAGGUAGCAUUAAGGCCGAGGCUAGGGAGACUGCCUCAUAUGGUGCAACGUUGAGGAUUUAAUUUCUCUCAGAAGGAAAGGAGUUCUGAGUCCCAUACAGAAAACUCUUCUUCAGCUGGAAGGAUGUCAAAAAGACGGGUCUCCAAAGCCAACGGUCUCCUGUACCAUGUGGAUCUCUGCAAGCAGAGCCUCAUCUUUCAGUUUCAGCUGCAUGAGAGGAAGGAAGGGAAGGACGUUUGUCAUGCCUGAUACACCUAUGUAGAGACCCCUCACCUGUGGGGCCACAGCUAAAGGUCGUAAUUCCUUGGGAUGGAAUUGGCCUUUCCUAUAUUCCCUACCUCAUGGAAAUGCCAUGAAAGGAACUCAGAACAUUUUGCUGAUUACAUGUUCACUUUAUGAAAAUUCAUCAAGUG